This is a non-coding RNA of Nicotiana attenuata, 57 nucleotides long. NCBI's taxonomy places the organism in Eukaryota, Viridiplantae, Streptophyta, Magnoliopsida, Solanales, Solanaceae. The record is from Rfam.
AGAUUAUUUGCUAGAGCAUCGCAUUUGUAAUGCGAUGGUCAUCGGUUCGAUUCCGAU